UGAAAAGAUAAAUACAAGUUGAAUAGUUGAAUGUCUUGUCUUCGUUUUAAAGUUUGAAUGGUGGCUCUAUGUCAACGUAUGUGGAAGUAGUAGGAGUUUAAAAAUGAGUAAGUUGAAUGAGAAUUUGAAGGGUCUCCCCAUUGAAAUACAUGGGAAAUUUUUGUUGAAUAAAGUUGAAUAAAAUUAAAAAUAUAAAUGUUAAAAAUGAGAAAAGUAGAAGCAGUCAUGUCCAAAAGAAUAGGAAUCUAAUGGUGUUUGAAUGGUUUUUCUAAGUUGAACGGUUUUGAAGGAGAUAGAUUACAAAAAACGUACGGAAUAGAUAAUAAUAAAAUAGAACUAGAAAGUGCAUUUUCUGAAGAAACUGCAGUGUGAAUGCUUGAAUCUGAAUGUAUGCACUGAAAUGAAUUAAUUACUGAAUUUAAGUUAAAAAUCUUGAAUGAGAUAAAAAAAAAAAACCGAAUUUAACCUGAAAACAAAAGUGCUGAACUGCUAAAAGCUGAAGGUUACACAGAAGAAGAAGUUGGAAAAAAGCUGAAAAUGUUUUAAUUGUAAAUUAGAAAAACCUAAGAAAUGAGAAAAGAACAUUUAGAGUCAGAAAACAUCUGAAAGAAUAUUAAAAGGUCAUAUUCUUUGAAUCACUGAAUGACUAAAAUGUGAUCCCUCCACUUGGAUCCACACAGUUUAAAAAGUUUAAAUGUCUGAGCUUUGAAAGACAAGAUGUUGGAAAAAGAACAACGAUGGCGACGUUUUGAGGGUAAAAUGAUGGCUUUAACACUGUGGACACAGCAGCAGUUGAAAGAGAAGUGUUUAAGAUGAAUCUUGGCAGAGUGGCAGGCAGAGCUCGUUAAGCAGGCAGGUGUGAGCCUGGUUGCUAUAGUGACUGCACCCAAUGGCUCCAUACACACGUACACAGACAUGCACCUCACUUUUGCUGCUUAAAAUGAACAGAAACGUCAGGCCGAAACAAAUCGUUCCCAAAUGAAAAGUAUAGGUCGUAUUGACGAAAUUCUUUCACCGUGAGCGGCAGCAAUGUCUAGUCUACUGAAUUCUCAGUUUUCAUGCCUGUGGAGUUUAUUAUAUGGACGUGGUGACAGUGUAAAGACACCAUGCUCUUCUGAUUUUCAAACCAACCUUCUGAGACAUUUUAACAUUGGAGUCUAUGGAAGAGUUGGAGGGAGGAGGCUGUGCAUUGGUGACAUUUAUGAAAGAACCAUAACACCUAGGACAAUAGUAAACACAUUGGAUGAAAGAGGACAGCGAUGGCUACGUUUUGAGGGUAAAAUCAUACCUGUAGAGCAAACGCUGCGGACACAGCAGCAGUUUUAAAAAAGAUUUUAAGAUUAAUUUUUUUGCUCCUCUCACUCUAGCAGUUGAGCUGCCUCACUCUAGCCCCAACAUUCCGUCCCAUACACACCCAUUAUAAACUCUGAAACGGGUGAAAAAACAUCAUGAAACUUAAACUGGAACUGAAGAAAAAGUAUAAUAGAUAUUGAAAAGAUAAAUACAAGUUGAAUAGUUGAAUGUCUUGUCUUCGUUUUAAAGUUUGAAUGGUGGCUCUAUGUCAACGUAUGUUGAAGUAGUAAGAGUUUAAAAAUGAGUAAGUUGAAUGAGAAUUUGAAGGGUCUCCCCAUUGAAAUACAUUAUAAAUUUUUGUUGAAAAAAGUUGAAUAAAAUUAAAAAUAUAAAUGUUAAAAAUGAGAAAAAUAGAAGCAAUGUUGUCCAAAAGAAUAGGAAUCUAACGGUGUUUGAAUGGUUUUUCUAAGUUGAACGGUUUUGAAGGAGUAGGCUUUCAAAAAACGUACGGAAAAAUAAAAUAUAAUAAUAAUAAUAAAGAUUAGAAGAACAAUACUGUGAAUGCUUUUCAAGCAUUCACACUAAUAAUAAUAAAGAUUAGAAGAACAAUACUGUGAAUGCUUUUCAAGCAUUCACACUAACUAGAAAGUGCAUUUUCUGAAGAAACUGCAGUGUGAAUGCUUGAAUCUGAAUGUAUGCACUGAAAUGAAUAAAUUGCUGAAUUUUGAGUUAAAAAUAUUGAAUGAGAUAAAAAACAAAACAAAAAAAAAAAACGAAUUUAACCUGAAAACAAAGGUGCUGAACUGCUAAAAGCUGAAGGUUACACAGAAGAAGGAGUUGGAAAAAAACUGAAAAUGUUUUAAAUGUAAAUUAGAAAACCCUAAGAAAUGAGAAAAGAACAUUUAGAGUCAGAAAACAUCUGAAUGAAUAUUAAAAGGUCAUAUUCUUUGAAUCACUGAAUGACUAAAAUGUGAUCCCUCCACUUUGAUCCACACAGUUUAAAAAGUUUAAAUGCCUGAGCUUUGAAAGAUACGGUGUUGGAAAGAGAACAAUAAUGGCGACAAUUUGAGGGUAAAAUGAUGGCUGUAACACUGUGGACACAGCAGCAGUUGAAAGAGAAGUGCUUAAGAUGAAUCUUGGUACAGUGGCAGGCAGAGCUCGUUAAGCAGGCAGGUGUGAGCCUGGUUGCUAUAGUGACCGCACCCAAUGGCUCCAUACACACGUACACAGACAUGCGCCUCACUUUUGCUGCUUAAAAUGAACAGAAAA
Astatotilapia calliptera (eastern happy) is the source of this 2562-nucleotide long non-coding RNA. The record is from Ensembl. Lineage: Eukaryota; Metazoa; Chordata; Actinopteri; Cichliformes; Cichlidae.